RNAcentral lists this non-coding RNA (922 nucleotides) under Ptychohyla euthysanota (cloud forest stream frog). RNAcentral describes it as "partial 12S ribosomal RNA". It matches the Rfam family "Bacterial small subunit ribosomal RNA". Lineage: Eukaryota; Metazoa; Chordata; Amphibia; Anura; Hylidae. The record is from RNAcentral.
UGGUCCUAACCUUAAUAUCAGUUUUUACUCAAUUUAUACAUGCAAGUUUCCGCACCCCUGUGAGAACGCCCUUACUUCCUGUCAGGAACAAGGAGCUGGUAUCAGGCACAAUUCUUAGCCCAAGACACCUAGUUUGACCACACCCACAAGGGCACCCAGCAGUAAUUAACAUUGAGUAUAAGCGACAGCUUGACUCAGUUAGAGUAAACAGGGCCGGCAAAUCCGGUGCCAGCCGCCGCGGUUACACCACGAGGCCCAAAUUGACCUUUUUUCGGCGUAAAGCGUGAUUAAAGUUAUUGACACAAUUAUAGUUGUACCUAAACUAAGCCGUAACACGCUUGUCUCUGAGAAAUACAAAAACGAAAGUUACUAUAUAUACACCAACUUGAACCCACGACAGCUGGGAAACAAACUGGGAUUAGAUACCCCACUAUGCCCAGCCGUAAACUUUAAAUUACAUCUACAUCGCCAGGGAACUACGAGCUAAGCUUAAAACCCAAAGGACUUGACGGUACCCCACAUCCACCUAGAGGAGCCUGUCCUAUAAUCGAUAACCCCCGCUUAACCUCACCAUUUUUAGCAUAACAGCCUAUAUACCUCCGUCGUCAGCUUACCCCGUGAGUGAUCCUCAGUGAGCUUAAUGUCCUUACGUCAAAACGUCAGGUCAAGGUGCAGUAAAUAAAAUGGGAAGAGAUGGGCUACACUCUCUAAUUUAGAGUACACGAAAGACUUUAUGAAAUUUAGUCAGAAGGCGGAUUUAGAAGUAAAAAGGGACCAUAGAGCUCUUUUUAAUACGGCACUGGGGUGUGUACACACCGCCCGUCACCCUCUUCAAAGCCAAGAGACAGUACUUAACACAAGACAGCUGACUAGAAGAGGCAAGUCGUAACAUGGUAAGCGUACCGGAAGGUGCACUUGGAAA